GUGCCAGCAGCCGCGGUAAUACGUAGGUUCCGAGCGUUGUCCGGAUUUAUUGGGCGUAAAGCGAGCGCAGGCGGUUAGAUAAGUCUGAAGUUAAAGGCUGUGGCUUAACCAUAGUACGCUUUGGAAACUGUUUAACUUGAGUGCAAGAGGGGAGAGUGGAAUUCCAUGUGUAGCGGUGAAAUGCGUAGAUAUAUGGAGGAACACCGGUGGCGAAAGCGGCUCUCUGGCUUGUAACUGACGCUGAGGCUCGAAAGCGUGGGGAGCAAACAGGAUUAGA
This 277-nucleotide ribosomal RNA is filed under the name uncultured Streptococcaceae bacterium. RNAcentral describes it as "partial 16S ribosomal RNA". It matches the Rfam family "Bacterial small subunit ribosomal RNA", at positions 505 to 782 of the family's 1533-position model. The record is from RNAcentral. Lineage: Bacteria; Bacillati; Bacillota; Bacilli; Lactobacillales; Streptococcaceae.